Molecule: long non-coding RNA, 39545 nt
Filed under: Citrus x clementina
Lineage: Eukaryota; Viridiplantae; Streptophyta; Magnoliopsida; Sapindales; Rutaceae
Description: Citrus clementina (C. clementina) long non-coding RNA (CCLE_LNC003318)
Source: RNAcentral
CCCUCACUCAUUUCAUUCUUUAAUUAUGCAGAUAAAAAUUUAAAAAAAAAUGUUUUGUAAUUUUCUUUUGUCAUAUUGCCACUUCCGUUUUGAAGCUCCCAAUUAAGUCUAUGAAAAUGAAUGACGUUUCAUUCUUAUUCUUGUCAGCCUAAUUCUUAUAUAAAUGAAGAGUAAAUUGUUAUUACGAUAUUGGUCAGCCAAUAAAUUCUUCUUUUUUUUUCCCCCAAAUAUGAGUGAUCAAAUUGUUUGCGCAUAGAUAAAUGUACUUAAUUUGCAGGAGGUAUUCCACGGGAAUUGGGGAAUCUUACAAAAUUGGAGAGGUUACAACUGUUCUGGAAUAACUUGACCGGUAGCUUUCUUUACAAUAUAUAUACGAGACAUCUUCCGCUUUUUAUUAGAAAUUAUAUAUUCAAGUUAAAUCUUAAUUAAAAGAUUUCAAGUCUCUCAUUAUAAAUUCUCAUAUGAGGAUGUGUCGUUACCACUAUCUAACAUUAUUCCGUUUUUUUAUUAUAAAUUAGUUUGUGUUAAUUCAAAAUUCUGUAGCAUUUAAAAAAAAUUAAAAACACGUGGAAUAAAUCGUUAAUCUUUCUUCUUUACUGAAUUUGGAUUUCUCAAAAAUAAUCUUGACAAGUAUGCUUCACUAAUGAUAUGCAUGUGUGACAACUUGAUAAAAUAUUUUAAAUGGAAUCACUAAUUAUCUUUAAAGAUGCCAUCAGUGAUACAUAAUUUAUUAACAAGCACCAUACCAAAAGAAAUCAACAAUUUUAUUAAUCUUAAAGAGUUACAUCUUCACUGCAAUUAUGACAUAAAUUUUUAGUCAUCAAUCGCAUAAUAUUUUAUCUUAACGGAUGAUGAUGUUCAGUCUUGGAAUUUAUAAUACCUUGAAGGUUAGUAGCUUUGAAAAUAAGAAAUUGUUCAUUUGCUAAAAAGUUAACUUAGUAUUUAAGUUUUUCAAUUGAAAAUUUUGAAAAAAGUCUUGAGAACUAGCCCUCCUUAGUAUUUCGGCUGAUAAAUAUGAAAAAUAGGCUAGAAGAAAUUAUUGUUGUGUGUGCUUAGUCUACUUGGGCUUCGGGCUUGAUUGCACAGUUGAGCACUUACACCUAUUAUAAUAAUAGGCUUUUACUUUCACCACACGUUUGAUAAUUUCUUAACCUUCCCAAUUAGGUUAUAGCAACUUAUAUAUAUAAAUAACUAAAGCAUACUAAAAAGCUAGCAAUUUUUUGACCGGUAUCUAUUUCACGUCUUUCAUUAUAAAUUCUCAUAGGAUGAUAUCUCAUUUUUUAUUAGAAAUUAAUAUGUGUUUAUGCAAAAAAUUUUAGCAUCUAAAAAAAGUAUAAAAACACGUGGAAUAAAUCAAAAAUCUUUCUUCAUUACUGAAUUUCGAUUUCUCAAAAAUUAUCAUGACAGCUAUGUUAGUGUCUUACUAAUGAUAUGCAUGUGUGACAGCUUCAUAAAAUAUUUUACAUGGAAAAUAUAAAAAUAGACUUGAAAAAAUUUAUUUUACUGAAAUAAUAGUUAAAAAGAGAGGAGAAGUACAAUUCCCAUGACUUAGGCUUGUUGUGUACUUACACAAGGUCGAACACUUACAUCCCACGACAUAGGCUUUUAGGGAUGAGUGGCAUCAAAUGUGUCUCUGCUUUUAUGUAUUAUUAUUCUUUGAAACAAAUCUGAUUAUAAUUCUUUUAAAAUACAGAUUAAAUAGCACGUGAAAUUGGAAAAUAUUUUACUGCGAUAAGAAUUCAUAUAUUCAUUGUACUAGCACAUAUAAAAUAGACUAUAAAUUUAGUUCCAAAAUACAUUCUUAUUUUCAUAUAAAUAUUACAUUAUUAAUUUAAAUUAAUAUUAAAAUAUGUUGUUUCUUUCACUAUGUUAUUCUAUUUACACAAUGAUGUGACUAUUGGAAUUAAUAAUACUUAUAAUUAUUUUGUAAAAUUUAAUACUUUGUUAACAUUUUAUCUACAUAUAAUAAUUAAACUGAAACUUGUAUUUAAAAAAAUUCCAGUUACGCAUAUUCAUUUCAUGACAUAAAAGUGUAUAUUUAUGCUAAUUUACCAUUAUCAACAAAAUGCUUUGAGACAAAUAAUCUAAUUUAUAUUUUUAUAUUUAAAAUACUUGCAUUUAUUAUAUUUUGAAAAAAAAAUUAUUUGCAAUUAUUUUAAACCGUUGGAUUCAAAUUUUCGUAGUUAUUAAAGUCAAAGGGUAUAAAUGUAUAAUAGUCAAAAACAGAUUUGUAUGAUCAUUUUUCAAUGUAUAAAUUUUCUUAGUUAGUAGGAAAAAUUAGAAAUUGUUGAUUUACUCAUAAAUAAAUUUAAUGUUUAGCAUUUCAAUUUUGGAAAACUUGAACUAAAUGUUGAUAACUUCGAAUCGGUCGAGCCGAGUUUCGCUUCCUUGACCCACGGACCCAUUGAAAGUUCUAUUCGAAUUGAGUUUCCCGGUGCUUAUAAAAAGCAUUUCUUUUCCUUGUCGUAGAUUUAUUCACAAAUGAGUUGAUUAGCAUCGAAGUUACCUGAGAGUCUGAGACCAUGCUAGUAGGAGAAAUUUGAAAAGAAAUUAUUUUACUGAAUUAAUUUAUUUUAUCUUGUUGUAACUGAAAUACUACUUUUUUUUUUGGGCUAUCACUGGGGCUUGAUUUACUUUAAUAGUAGCAGCCACCGACUUAGGCAUUUUUUACUUCUCACCACACAAUUUGAUCUUUUAAUUCGUUUUAGCCACAUAAUCUAUCUAUCUCUCACCUAUUGCUUACUUAAAUCUCAUACAUAUUUUAUCUACUAAUUUUUAUAAAUAUUAGUCAAAUGUAUUUUAUUAUGUUUCUCUCGUAACUGCUCCAAAUGUGUACGAUUAAUACUUAACCCUCCCUUUUAAUUUACCGUGCAAUCUCUAUCACUUAAGUCACAUAUAUAUUUUACCUAUAUUUUACCCCAAAAAAUAUAAAAAUAAAAGAAAAAGAAUAUGUGUAGCAAUUUGCAUAUAACUAACAAAGCAUUGACGGUGUGUAGCCUUUCAAUACUUCACGAGUGGCUUUUCUUGUGUGUUAGUACUUGUAAUAAUUGUGUAGUGUAUAAAUGACAUUUUAUUAUUAAAGUGCGUCCAUUUUUAGAUAUUACUUACACUACUAGAAAAAUGGUCUUUACUGACUUUAGAAUAGUGUCAGAAAUUACUUUUACUGACACUUGUUAAUUGUGUCAGUAAUCUGGGAGUCAGAAAAAUAGUGACACUUGUAAGUGGUGUCAGUGAUUACUAUUACUAUAGUAUCACCGAUAUUAUGACACCAUAGUGUUAGUAGUUAUUGAUAUUUUAUUAGUGUCUAUGAUUACUGUUACCAUGGUAUCACUAGUUAAUUUAUUUUUUAAAAAGUAAAAAAUUAAAUUGGAUCAUUGCCUAUUGAUUUAUUUGUAAAAUUAAAAGCACCACAAAAUAACAAAAAGAAAUUGAUUUAUAUCACAAAAUCUUUCAUUUCACAUUUAAAUAUUAUUAGUAUAUAUUACAAAUUGAACUUCAAUAGCCAAAAUAUGAGAUAUCCUACUCUCAUAACUAAAUAAUCCAAAUUCAAUACAUAAAAAUUAGUCUCUGUCCCUAUCUGACCAACUUCCAUCAGAAUUAGCCUCAUCACUUCUGCUUUCACUGUGAUAAUUGGAGCGCCUCCGACUCCAAGUUGUUUCAUGAACUUGACGUUCAUCAUCAUGGCUUCUGCCAGAACCACUUUUCACAAUAUCAGCCUCCCUUGAUCUGGACCUUCUGUAAUGAUGCCUGCAUAGGAAAUUACAAAACCAUAAAUAACCAGAAGAUUUCUAACAUCAGCAGUAAAUACAUUAACUAAUGAAAUUUGAUCAUAGUUUGGAUCAUCAUCCCUUGUACAUAAGAUUGCAAUGCUACAUCACCAAAGGCUUCUUGUUGAAUCUAAUUAUUUUCUUGCCAUGCUUGCAAUAUGGUCAUUACGCCACACACUAAUCAUACAUUUUUGAAAGUGGGUUUUAAUCUCGAACAAUAGACCAAAAAAACCAACAGAAGAACUUUCUUUAAAUCUUGCAUUGUGAGAACAUCUUUUCAUUAUUCAUUGCUUCUAAGAAAACCGAGUUAGGAGACUUGAAGAAAACACAAAUGAAGAGAACGAUACUAUGAAGAAACCUCUCAAAAUCAUCGGUUAAACAUGGAAGUUUAAACUAAAAAAUUCAAAUAACAGAAAGUGAAUUAAAUAAACAAGAGUUCAUAUAUACCAAGUACAGUUUUUAGUGUCUAUGACUAGUAAUAAAAGCAUACCUAUCGGCAUUAGUUGAAUCUAUCUUGUUCCUCGUUUGUCCUGAGCGUUCUUGAUUCCAGGUCCCAGAUUCAUCAGAAUAACCAAAUAAAGCAGCCAUCUUUUUCACCCAAUAUCUCGGAGGUGGUUUAUCCCAAUCAGCCUAUUCAUAGUCUCCGCCAGGGUUGCGAAAAUAGUGGAUAAAAUUGCAAGCCAUUCCACGAGAGCAUGUCUGUUAAAAUAUGCCCAACAAAGAUAACAAGAGUGUAAAAAAAAGAAGAAAAGAAACAAACUCAUUUCAUAUCAAAAGCAAAAUGGCAAAGAAAAAAGCAAGUGUAUAAGCCGCACAAUUAUAACUCUGAAAAAUGAGACAAUUGGCUGUACCUUUAGUCUUGACUUCAUAUAUUCCCCACAUAUGGCAAUCUUCCAUCUAGUCACAUUAAUAAAUUCACAUGUGAUCUGUCAAGAAACACACAAAUAAAUAAACCAUCACCAUCCAGAAAAUGACAAGCUGUAAAAUUCAGUAAACAGUAAUGUGUUGAUUACAAUUUAAGCAUGGAGAAAAAUUUCAGAUUAGACUAUGUCAACAGUGUCCAUAGAUAGUUAAAAGAUGGGAGAAUGUGCUGGCGUUCACUAAGCAUAUAAUUUUUCACAGCUUAACCCAUUACAAUUUUACCAGUGUCAAGUCUAAAGGAAACUAGUCAGGAAUCUUCUGUAAAGUAAAUAAAUAGUGAAACAACUGUUCUCAUAGCAAUAAAAUGAAAUUAUUUUAAUAAUUUUCUUCAACUUUCAGACCAAUUAAACAAGUGAAGCAAUUUUAGUACAAUGAACAGCAAUUUAAGUUGAAUGGGCAAUUGGAACAAUUACGGAACAACUAGACCCCAACGAAUACUGCAAAAACAACCCUUAAACAAUGACUUAAGAAAGUAUAAGCUUCUCUUAAGAAAGUAGAAGCUUCUCCUAGAUCAUGCCUUUUCAAUCUCCCUUUGCUAAGAAAGCUGCCCUAGUAUUUAAGACUAUCCAAAUCCUAUCAACAUGUUGGGACAUUCAAAUACAGCCUCCAAGAAGACAUGCUGUAAGCUUUACAACUGAAGUCUGUCGGAUAAACCAAAUCUUAUACCCAAUGCCAAGAGCUUUAAUUCAAUCCAUUUUGACAGGCACCAAUUACCAGGAAUGCAGGCAGACAAAGAGGAUCAAAAUGACAGGAUAUCAGUAUUCUGGAAUUUCUAUCAGAAACAUGAAAAGUGGCAAGGCCUAUUCACUGAGAGCCAAACAUUUUUUAAAUAGUAGUUACUUUAUAUAAAACAAACAAAUAUAAAGUAGAAAGUAAGCUCCAACAAUUCUUCACAAAGACUUGUUUCCCAGCAAAGUAACGACCAUUGACAGAAUGGUAAGCGAGAACAGCUAAUUCCAGGGACUUAUAGUGAACAUAGACAUUUCCUCUUAAGUGGGAAGAACCAUUUCUACACACCUGCGCAUAUUUGUUAGUUAGUAAAUGAAGAGCACCAACAACAUGUGUCAGUAAAUAGGUGUUGUGGCAAACAAUCCCAAACCUUCCAAAGUAAUGACCAUUGUUAGAUGACCAGCUCUGACAAUCGACGAUAUAUAGUAUAUUCCACAAGAAACUACUAGUUGUUAAGGAGAAAUUUUUAACUCAAACAGAGUUGUACAGUUAUGUGACUAGUGAGAGAGAGAAAGAAAGAAAGAAAGAAAGAAAGAAAUAACGAAAGAAAGAAAGAGAAAUAAGCCAAACAUAUAAACAAGAAAUUUCAUAAUAGCUAAAAUCAUUUGCAGCAUGUAGGAUACAUAAUAGCUCAUAGCCUUCACUCUUACCCAAUCAAGGCCAACACCAUGAAUCUCCAUCAUUAUGAAAACAUAAAUCUCUGAUUUCACAUAGUCAAAGAAAAUAAAUAAAAUGUGAACUCAAAAGAACUCACCAGUGAUACUAUCUAGAAUAGUUAUAAACACAUUACAAUAUAUCAACUGGAAAAAUAUUUUUCUAUAUAAAAAGCAUCUUCUAUAUAGCAAGGACAAUGCGUAUAUAAAAUGAUCCAACAAAUUGCACAAAAGUAUAGAAGUUUGGAAGAGUCCUUAUCAGGAUACAAGAAUCAGCAAUUACAUACCUCGAGCCUCUCAUCUUGCUCCCAAGCAAGCCCGAGACCAUUAUACAUAUUCUUGAUGAGUAGAGUGCACGAUUUAUCAAGGUAAAAAUGAACUAUGCUGCAUCUCUGACCAAACCGACAAGCUCCAGUCUUCAAAUGGAAAGGACAAUAAGCUUUAUCCUGCCAUAUAUAAUAAAAACAUGAUUGACCAUGAUAAAUAGGCAAAUAUAAUAGAAAUGAAAUAUAAUACAGUAAUUGCAAAUUGAAAAUUUCAGAUAGACAGAUUGAAAGAAAAGGCAUGCCUGUUCAGUUCCAAAAUUGGGCACUUGUUGAGCAACAAUCUCCAAUGCCUGUUGUGCAUUCUGGUGAUCAGCAAAGGCUUCUGAUUGUGGGGGCAGAGGAUUUGAUGUAGGCCUAUCAACAUCCUGCAAAAGGAAGUAAUAACGUAGAAAGUUUAAUUUUUGCCAUAACCGAAGAGAAUGGGCAUCCUGAAGUAAAGUAGAAACAAGCCUAACAUAGUUGUCAAUAGAGUCAAAAUUACCUCUUUUUUACUUAGUGGGUUCGCAUCCUUCUUCGGAACUCUGACCUUUUUCUUCCUGAUAAUAAUAUCAUUUCCUUGCCAUAUAAUUUCAGCAGGCCCUUCGCCAACAUAUUCCCAAUCAUCAUCCUCAUCACAUUCAUUCUCCUUUCAUCUCCAAAUUCGCGAUGCUCCGAGAACAUGCCGUAGCUGGUGAGCAAGCGGAGGAUAUGUUGCAAGUUCUCGGCGUCCCCACCGCCGGAUUGGAGGAUACGUGUCAAGAUCUAGGAGGCGGAGAGAGAGGCGUUGGCCCCAACUUGCCAGAUGGCAUCCGGUACAUGGAGACGGAUGGCAGCGGUUAGAGACAUGGGAACACUUAUCAUGUUGGCCAGCUCCAUUACGACCAAUCUUACCUUCUUCCCGCCAUCUCUGCACUCGUUAUCUUCCAUUACUGCUUACUGACCUUUGAUUUCGCAGCACCAUGCCGGCCAAUCAAAAAGAUAAGACUUGAGCACUUUUUGACAAUUUGGAUGUUAGGGAUUUUUCAGAUCUGGGGAGCUUAGGAGGGAACGAAUGCUUUGUUAGAGGGAGUUGAAAAGUUGUAUUUUGGAUAAGGUAAGACUUGUGCAUUUGUUUUGUUUUUAUCCACUCAAAAAGUAUAACUCUAAAAAAAUUAAAAAUUAUUCGUAGCCUAGUGGUCUUUUGAUUCAAUGUAGAAGUUCUAGGUUUAAGAGGUCUUGGGUUCGAAUUCAGACUAAAACAAAAUUAAAAUGAUAAUUUUUAAUUGCUGAUACCUAAGCGUCAUUGAUCGCUAUUACUAAAGCUAUUGAUACUUCAGUAUUAGUAAUUAGUGAUACAUAUUUGUUAAACGCGGAAAAUGAUCCAAAUAUAUGUAUAUACUGAUACUUUUAAAUAAAGUGUCAGAACACAAGUAUCAGUAAAGACCAUUUUUCUAGUAGUGUUAUUAUUUAAAAAAUAAACUAAAUAUAAUUCUUUUAAAAUAUAGGGGAGAUACCACUUGAAAUUGGUAAUCUCCAAAAUCUGGAGGUGUUGGACCUUGGUCAAAACAAAUUAAUUGGUACUGUCCCAGCUGCAAUCUUUAAUGUGUCAACACUCAAAUUUAUUGAGCUUCAAGAUAAUUCUCUCUCUGGAAGUCUUUCGUCCAUCACAGAUGUCCGACUACCAAAUCUUGAAAAGCUUCAUUUGUGGGGUAAUAAUUUCAGUGGCACAAUUCCUCGUUUCAUCUUUAAUGCUUCUAAGCUCUCUAUACUAGAAUUUUCAAAAAAUUCAUUCUCCGGUUUUAUUCCCAACACAUUUGGCAACUUAAGAAACCUUCAGAAGCUGAGAUUAUAUGAUAAUUAUUUGACAUCUUUAACUCCAGAAUUGAGCUUUCUAUCCUCGUUGUCAAAUUGCAAGUCUUUAACACUUAUUGACUUAUCAAAUAAUCCACUAGAUGGCAUUCUUCCUAAGACGUCUAUCGGAAAUCUUUCUCAUUCUUUGAAAGAUUUUAAAAUGCACAAUUGUAACGUUAGUGGUGGCAUCCCUGAAGAGAUAAGCAGAUUGACCAACUUGACAACCAUUGAUUUAGGAGGCAAUAAGUUGAAUGGAUCAAUUCCGAUUACUCUCAGCAAAUUACAGAAGCUUCAAGGUUUGGGUCUUGAAGAUAACAAAUUAGAAGGAUCAAUCCCAGACAGUAUUUGUCGUUUGACUGAACUGUAUGACUUGGAGUUGGGUGGCAAUAAGCUUUUUGGAUCAAUCCCUGCAUGCUUCAGUAAUCUGGCUUCUCUGAGGAUACUAUCGUUGGGUUCCAAUGAGUUAACUUCUAUUCCCUUAACUUUUUGGAAUCUUAACGAUAUCUUGUACCUCAACUUUUCUUCAAAAUUUUUUACUGCUCCACUCCCAUUAGAGAUUGGAAAUUUGAAGGUUUUGGUUGGAAUGGAUUUUUCGAUGAAUAAUUUUUCAGGCGUUAUCCCAACAAAAAUUGGAGGCCUAAAUAAUCUAGAAUAUCUCUUCUUAGGAUAUAACAAAUUGCAAGGAUCAAUUCUUGAUUCAUUUGGUGACUUGAUAAGUUUGAAAUCCUUGAAUUUGUCUAAUAAUAAUCUCUCUGGGGCUAUUCCUGCAUCUUUAGAGAAACUCUCGUAUCUUGAAGAUCUAAAUCUUUCUUUCAACAAGCUGGAAGGAGAAAUUCUUAUGGGAGGAUCUUUUGGAAACUUCUCAGCUGAAUCAUUUGAGGGAAAUGAAUUAUUAUGUGGUUCACCCAAUUUACAAGUCCCGCCAUGCAAAACUAGCAUCCACCGCACAUCAUGGAAAAAUUCUCUUCUCCUCGGGAUUGUGUUGCCAUUGAGUACAAUAUUUAUGAUAGUAGUCAUUUUGUUGAUCCUAAGAUAUUGACAUAGAGGAAAACGACCAUCGAAUGAUGCUAGUAUGCCACUAGUAGCAAUGUGGAGAACGUUUUCAUACCUAGAACUUUGUCAAGCAACAGACGAAUUCAGUGAAAACAAUCUAAUCGGCAAAGGGGGUUUUGGCUCUGUUUAUAAGGCAAGACUUGGGGAUGAGAUGGAGGUUGCAGUGAAAGUUUUCAAUUUGCAAUGUGGAAGAGCAUUUAAGAGUUUCGAUGUUGAAUGUGAAAUCAUGAAAAGUAUUCGCCAUCGAAACCUUAUCAAAGUUAUUAGUAGUUGUUCAAAUGAAGAGUUUAAAGCGUUGGUAUUAGAAUACAUGCCUAGUGGAAGUUUGGAGAAGUAUUUGUAUUCAAGUAACUGCAUUUUGGAUAUUUUUCAAAGAUUGAACAUAAUGAUAGAUGUUGCAUCAGCUUUGGAAUAUCUGCACUUUGGUCAUUCAGCUCCAAUAAUUCACUGUGACUUAAAGCCAAGCAAUGUAUUGUUAGACGAUAAUAUGGUUGCUCAUUUGAGUGAUUUUAGCAUCACAAAAUUGCUAACAAGAGAAGAUCAAUCUAUGACUCAAACACAAACAUUUGCCACAAUAGUCUAUAUGGCACCAGGUUUGUCAAUAUAAAUAUUUUCUAUUUCUUGUAAACUUCCUAAUAAGUUGUUUAUGUUUCAUGAUCUUCAUUACAUGAGGAAAUUCUUAUUAAUGAUAUAUCUUACUAUGUAACUAUUGCAAUUCAUAGAGUAUGGAAGAGAAGGACGAGUAUCCGCAAAUGGAGAUGUUUAUAGCUUCGGGGAUUAUGUUAAUGGAAACUUUUACUGGGGAAGAACCCACAGAUGGAGAGGGGGGAGUGGAGCAAUGACAUUAAAGCAAUGGGGUUAAUGAUUGGCUACCCAUUUCCACAAUGGGAAGUUGUUGAUGUUAAUUUGCUAAGUCAGGAGGACGUACAUUUUGUUGCAAAGGAGCAAUGUGUGUCAUUUGUCUUCAAUUUGGCUAUGGCGUGCACUGUGGAAUCUCCUGAGCAGAGAAUCAAUGCGAAAGAAAUUGUAACAAUGCUCUUAAAAAUUAGAGGCUCAUUACUUAGAAAUGUUGGAGGCAGAUGUAUAAGACAAUCAAAUUUAAAUUGAUUCUGCCCCUCCAUUGCUUGCUAUCCUUUUCAGAGACUUGAACGGUUAUCCUUCAUACCAGUUUUGUUGAUAUGUUUUGUUAUUGCUCUUGCUCAUGUUUGUUUCUCUAUUUCUUUAAUUUGCAUGCAUGUAUUUUUCGUUCUCUUUUAUGUUUUUGUUGGUUUGUAUGUAGUUUGUUUUUAAGGGUAAGGUUGAUUAUGUCCUCCCCUAAUUAGACGUAUCCUUUUUAUUUUUAUUCAACAAAGCUUCUCUAAUACUAUCGAGGUUCAUCAAAAGAAAAUUUUAAAUUAAUUUUCUUUUCUAUGUUAGAUAAUGAAAUUCUAAUCUUCAUAGUGAAUAACCUCAAUAAUAGAGUGUAAGAGUAUUAGUAGUUAUGGUUCUUUUCUGAACUUGAAGUCAAGAGCAAUUUAACAGCAACAAACAAGUCUCUUGUAUUAUAGGCAAAAUUCUUUUCAUUAAUCUUAUUUGUCUACAUGUUCUCCUAUUUUCUCCAUUAAUCUUCGCUCAAAGUUUCAUGCUUCCUCUUUGAUAAAGGAAAAUGUUACUCGUGAAUAUUUCAAAUUUUCAAUUUGACAUGAGCGACUGUUUGCCAGCCAUUUGAUAAAAUGGAUAUGAGUGGAGUUUUCAAUCAUUACCUCCACCAAAAUCCUUACAACACCACUUUUUAAUUUUAUUUUUAAUAAUACAUUCAGUUUAAUUUAAAAAAAAUAAAUCCAUUUGUGGAAUUUAAUCUUUUUCUCAUAAAUUUCAACCUAAAAAAUAUAUUUCUUUUAAAUUUUUAUUACAAAAUAUUUACAAGUUCUAAACUAUUAAAUUAUUUUCUUCUUAUUAUAUAGUUUAUAUCUCCAUAACUCUAAACUCCUAUAAUUUUUUAAAAAAAUAUUUUUUUUAAUUUAAAAUAUAAAUAAUAAAAUAUAGGAAUGGGAGGUGAGUAUAAAAAACUUGUUAAAGAUAAUCAUAGUAUACUGAUUGAAUAAAUAAGAAUAUAUUUUUUUUUAUUAGUAGUAUUGAAAAAGAGCUUUUAGUAAUAUUAUUGAAAUAUGAUUAAAAUUCUUAUGAAUUAAACAUUUUCGUAUAAAUACUAGUGAUAAUUACAGAGAAAGUACGAUGAAGUGAAAAAACUUAAAUAUAAAUACUCUAGUAUAAUUUUCACAUGCAACUUAUGAACCAGUGAUAUUUAGAGCAUCAUAAAAUUGUUUUAACACGAUUAAUUGGUUUGAAAAAUUGCCAAUAAUGUCUACAAUGGGAUUUAAAAGAUUAAACUACAUAUAUAAGACAUGAUAUCAUUUAAGACGGCUUACAUAUUAUGAGAAAUAUUUUGAUCUUCCAAAUAUUUAAAAUGUCAAUUAGACUGAGUCUAUACAAUGAAAAUUUCAAAUAAAAAAUAAACCCUUUAUUUUCUUUUAAUCAUAAGUGUGAUCUUAAUUAUUAAAGUCAUUUAAUGUCCAUUACUUAUUCAUUUUUUUAAUUACCUAAAUGACAUUGAAAAAUCUACUCAAUAUUAAUUCAUUCAAAUGUAAUCGGAAACUGCAAAUGAAACAAAUGCUUGAAAUCACAAACGGCCUAAAAUUAUAUUUUCAUUUUUCAAUGUUGCAGUGACUUUGAUCUUGAUAUUGAAAAUUUAUUUGUAACUUAUAUAAAUGCCUCAAUUUUAUCAUAAUUCGUUAGUAAGGCUACGUAGGGAGCAUGGAUAAAUUUUGGGAUUGGAUAAUAUUUUUGGAACUAAAAAAUUAAUUUCAUCCAAUGUUAUAUUUGGCUGUCAGGACUAGCAACUUAGUCUAAAAUUAUUGAAAUUAUUAAUCUUUUAUAUUAUAAUCUUUUCAUUCCUACUUUAAAUAUUAUUGGUAGCUUAAAUCAUUUUUUAAAAUUAAAUAUAAAAAUAAUUUAAAUUAAAUAUUAAGAUUAAUUCAUAAUUUUUUUACCUAGAAUUUUAUACUAUAUUAAAUAGUAAAAUUAUAUUCGAUAAUGUAUUAUCAUUUAUUUAAUAAAUGUUUAGGUUUUAGUAUGUUAUAUUAUUAUUUAAAUUAAUUUUUUAUUUACAUAUAAACAUAAAUUAUUAUUUACUAAUUUAAAUUUAUUAUAAUUAGUUAAAUAAUAAAAGAUAAAUGAUUAUAUUGAAAAUAUAAAUGGUAUUCUAAUGUAUUAUAGUCUAAAUCUUACCCCUAUGAGUUUAUUUUAUACACCUUUUAUUAUAUUAACCACAUUUAUAAUGCAGUGCAAUGUAACAAAAAAUUAUAACCAAAUAUGAGUUAGCAUGAAAAUUUUAGUGCAAUAUAAUACAAUGUAAUGUAAGCUAACAAAUGGAUAUUUAAUGGAAGCAAAAAUUGCAUAUGGCUUGUGGGUCUCUUAAAAGACAACAAAUAAACCAAUAUGAUACACUGAUUCUGUCCUCUUUAAUGAUGUCUUUACUAAAUGGGAAUCAGAAUAAGUUAGAAUUGGAAUGACCUUAAAUCGAAAUAAGGAAUUAGAAUAAAAAUAAAUUGUUUAUUUAAGUUGUAUGAAUCAAAAUCGGAAUAAAUUUUACUCAAAUUAAUAUGUUUAUUUUCUCUUAAAAUUAGAAUGGACUAUUACAAGUUACUAAAAAAUCAUUUGAUAAUUGUUGUCUCUAGUAUUAUUUGCAUCGGUUAUAAUGUUAACAAUAAUAAGAAUAAAAAUGAUACUAAAAAUGAAAAUAAUAAUAAUAGUAGAGACAAUAAUAAUAAAAUUAAUAAAUUAUUGUUAUUAUUACUACUACUACUACUACUACUAGUAAUACUGAAGACCGCUCAGUGAAGAUUGGAUAGUGAAGAUGAAGAUGACGAAGAUGAAGAUCCCAGCAACCAACUGUUGUUCCAAAGAUGAUGUGCCCAAAUGGAGACAACCAGUGAUGACCAACCAACUAGAUCCCAAUCUCGAUGUUGUGAUCUCGUAUGACCACAGAUAAAUCUAUGUGUGAUGUCGGUGUCGUGAUUUUUUUAUUUAUAUUUUUUAAUUUAUCAGUGGUAUUUUCAAAUUUUUGUAAUUUUUAUAUGGGCAAAUUGGAUAGUCCAAUGAACAGGAGAUUGGUUCUCAACCAUCCUAAUAAUUAGUCUCUCAUUUUCUAUUUCUAAUUUGAUGUGGGUCCUGCUAUUUCGAUUCCAAUUCUUACAUUUAUUUGUGAGACAAAAUUAUGGUGCAACUGUAGUAGUAUUGGAUCUAGCUACAGUUAUCAUCAUGACUGGAUAUAAUGGUUGAAAGUAAUUGUGGUAUGGUACCACAGUUGCACCAUAGCUGAACCUUUAUUUGUGAAGUAAAAUGAUGUUAAUAAUUUUCAAUUCGAGAAGUAAACACAUCAUAAUAUUUUUUUUAGAUGCUUCCAUGGCAUAAUCUCAUUGGUCCAUUUUUCUUCACGCUUUUCUUCACGCCUUAGAUUCAACUUCAAGAUUCAAGAUUCAAUUUGAAGCAAACACAACUACAAAACAAAUAUAAUAAGCGUUAAUAAGCCUGUGGCUGAAUGGUUGUGGACUUGUGGCCAAGCAAAUGUAACUCAUAGUGAACGAAUCAUAUCUUAUUAUCUUACGCCAGAAGCUAAACAAUGUUCCCAUUCCACGUGUCACUCUCUGACCAAUCCCCGAACUUUCUUCAUAUUUCCAAAGAAUCCCUCACCAAGUCAAGAUAAUUACCUUCACUCUACUCAUAUAAAUACUGUCCUCGAUUCGACUGAUGUCUGAUGACGACAUAUCCUUAGUCUUUAUUUAAAAGGGGAAAUUAUAAAAAAUUCUCCUCGUUCCCUAAAAAUCUAGGGUUUCUCAAGAAUCGCUAAACCUAGAUCCCAAUCCUUGAAAAUCUCAAUUUAACCUCUCUAGGGUUUCAAUUGUCGAGGAUUCGCUUCAAAAUUUAGUAUUUUUUAGGGGAUUUUGCUUGUCUCGUAUCCUUCAAUUGUUGUUGGGUUCUGAAAAUAAUUUGGAAUUUUAGGGGUUUUCAGAUUAUUUGGUUUUGCUUGAGUGGAAUUUCCUCUAGUUACGGUUUCAGUUUGAAGGGUUAAGUGCGAUUUCGAAUAUUUUUAUAAAAUUUAAAUUAGAAUUCAUAAAACGAUUGGGCGUUUAAUAAUUAAUUGAUGGCUAGCGAUACUACAAUGGCGGCCGCAGCUGCGGAAGAAGCAGAGGCGGUGGAGGAGUAUGAUAGCGAUCCAGAUGAAGUGAAGCGCUCUCUUGCGAUGCGCAGAAGGGAAGCCAGCGAUGAGGAGGUUGAGGAGGAUAAAGAUUCAGAGCUUCCAAUAGUUCAAAGUGUCCACAUUCCUGCGGGAGAAGCGGAGACUGUGGAUGAGUAUGAGAGCGAUCCAGAUGAAGUGAAACACUCUCUCAUUAUGCGCAGAAGGGAAACAAGCGACGAUGAGGAAGAGGAGACAUAAUUUGAGCGUCGAAUGAAUUGAAGGGUCCAGAUUCACUCUUACAUUGAAUCUGAUGGCCAAGGUGGUACUCCAGCUGAGUAUGAUGAUGAUGAAGAAGAAGAAGAGGAACAUGACAGAGAAUUAGAAGAAGAAGAUGAAGAAGGGGAUGUUUAUGAGGCUGUAGAGGAAGAAGAAGUUUUUGAAGAAGAGGAGAGGAAUGAUGGGGCGGUUAAAGUCAAAGGAAUAGAGGGCAAUGAUGCAUGAGGAGUAUGGAGGGUGCAGUGGAAGUGAGUAAAGGGAAUAAUGAUAAUGGCAAUGGUGCUAAAAGAAUGAUGCAGCAGAGGAGGGAAUGGAGGAAGAGAAGAAGGAGAGUAAUGAGCCUUUUGCACAGCAGCUGGGGCUUUUUAUAUGGGACAAUGUUGCAGGUCGACACAGGUAUUAUUUGAUUUGAGUGACAAUUUAUAAAUAGCUAAUAGCUGUACUUUCAUUAGGGCUUGUCAAUUAAUCCAGUCUCGUUUUUUGGUGCUGUAUAAUGAUUGUUUGCUGGAAUCUGUGUAGAAGGCUUUUGGCCUAGUAGGUUGAAAGGAGAGAAAGUUCUCAAAUAAACAUCUGUGCUUUGUGGAAUAUAAAUAAUAGGUACAAAGCAUACUAAAUUACUUGACAGAUAGAUGCCGAGCUAAUCAUGAGCUAUGAUAUCAUUAUCCGUGCUUUGUGUAUUUUUAAUGGGGCUUGUCUAUUUCAAAGUGUGUAGUGUAGAAUUUUUGGGUUUAGUUUGAGUGAUGAAGCGUUAGAUAGGUUUCUGUUUGGCAUAGUUAAGUGGUUAAUACGAGCUAUUGAAGCAAAUAUGGAGUAGGAUAUCUAGUUUUGGGUUUGGUCUUAGUUUGAAGAUGGCUACUGAUUAUGCAGCUAGGUACGUAUUAGUGUUUGUGGAUUGCUAAAUGCUUUCUGUCAAAUGUGACUAGAUUAUUACUUGAAGUGCAUGGAUCUUACACUUAAUUAAUUAUAUAUCCAUUUGUAAUGUUCAAAAUGAUCAUGUACUAUUGCUUAAAAUUAUGUCUUCAAGACAUCAUUUUGAAUCCAUGGUUGUAAUGUGUCUCUAAAUUCAGUAAUACAAGUUCUGUCAAUUGCUGUCGGAUGGCAGUGACUUGAAUAGUUUAAUGUUCAUUUGCAGAAAAAAAUUGAGAAAGAAAACUAAAAAAUUUCUGUGCGUUCUGCUGGAAAUUUAAUUAGCUUCAUUUGAGCAUUAAUUGCUGGCAUUAGCUCUUAGAUUUCUCUUGCAUUGAAUGAAUGGAUGAGUGCUAAUCCAUGCAAAGACUUCCAUGCAUACACAAUGAAUGCUUCAUCAAAGGUAUGGUAAAAUGUCAACACGCUUGGCCCAAAUUAUCAAGCUGGUGUGGUGGCUGCUAGAUUUGUUCAUCCGGAUUUUGGACCAUUUUCAUUGACAAUGAGAAAAGCUGCAAGAUCUGUAAAUCGGAAACUCAUUGAAGUGCCAAAGGAGAGAUGGAAGUGAAUAACUAGAGAGUUAGUGAAAAGAGGGUGCAGUGAUUGUGUGGGAAGCUUUGGGUAUACUUGGGGUUUGGAUGUGAGAUAAAAUAAUUUGAGAGAGAGGUUGUAACAAUUUUUCGGUAAUAGAGUUUUUCAGGUAACUCUUGUGUUGUGUGAUUGGAGUAUUCUCUAUUGUAUUUUUUUAUUUGUUAUUUAUUUGACUAUUGCUAGCGGAGAUCUUGGGUGGGAACCAAAAAUUCCCAACAAUUGUCAAUUGUUUUAAACUCUAUUUCAAACAGAGCAUGAAGGGAUUCACUUAUCUGAUUAUAUCUUUUAUGCUUUAACUUCACUUAAUUUCAUCUUGUCUGUCACCUUUAUUAAAGUUGUAUAUGUUGGAGUAUUAGGUUCAUCACAGGGAUCAUAUUAUGGCUAAGGAAGGGGCACAGUUUAUCGGCUGCACUCAAUUGUAGCAGAGUAUUUGGAUUCAAGACUGUUAGAAGGUUGUUACAAUGCAAGGCUGUUGCUGUGUAACUGUAUGCCAUUCUCGCAAGUGCACUCUUAACAGAUUGCUGAGCUGGCACCGGAUGUUUUUAGCUAAUAUUAGUUAUUGGUCUAGAGUGUUCUGAUUUAUUCUAUAAAUAGCUCAUUUGAGCUUAGAACCUUUAUAGUGUAUCAUACAUUUCCGUUACUUCUAAUAAUGAUUUUCUCUAUUCCUUUUUCUUUCACUUUCGCUUCCAUUUUCAUGAUCCCCAAACACCAUCAAUCCAUGAUUUUCUAGAGUAUUAGUUGUCUAUUUCUACAAACAUAGAAUUGUUGUUUUAAGAAACAAAGUACUCUGUCCUGUCACCCGCGGUCUCCUUGUUUAUCGACUUGUGAACAGGGCUAAAUAAACGGCAAAUAAGAUUUGGGUCAAUGGGUCUAACGUGACAAGAUAUUGAAUUAUUGCCCUUUUCUUUUCUCCACAAAUCUUUGGUUAAUUUUUAGGUUCCCUCAACUUUUUUCCCCUUUAGCACUAAAAUUCAUUUUUGAUACUUUAUGCAAAAAUUAUGAUGAAAAUGAGUCACUUUAGAACAUCAAUAAAUUUUUAUUUUUACAUCCAAGAUAACGACAGUUACACUUAGAUCACUCUCAUUUAGUUGAAUUAUAUAGGUAAUAAAGUUGGCUUAACAAAAUAUGAUUCUUAAUUGUUGUAAUUAAGGGCUAGUAUUAUUUGGUUUUAGUUGUAGGGCUUAUAAUGCCGUGGCUCAAUUCUUGGUGGGUUCGAAUUAUUAGACGAUCAUUCUCAAUCCUUUACUAUUCGUAAUUAAAAAUUCCUGUAUCACAAUUAGAACUUACAAAUAAGUCAAAGUGGGUUAAAUCAUAUGUAUAAAUUCGAGGUCUAUUACAAACUUUUAAAAAAGAUUUUCUCUGUUUUUUUUCUCUUUCACCUUUUCUUCCAUUUUCUGAAUCCCCAAACACCACCAAUCCCUGAUUGUUUGAGUAUUAGCUGUCUAUUUCUACAAACAAGUUCUUGAAUUGAAUGGCUCCUCUUUUAUCCAUAGAUCUUUGCUUAAUAUUUUUGUUCCCUCAACCUUUUUCGGCCCUUUGCUCUAAACUUCUUUUUUGAUACAUUACACAAAAAUUAUGAUGAAAAUAAGUUACUUUAGAACAUCAAUAAAAUUUUAUUACAUCUAAGAUAAGACAAUUAUACUUAGAUUACUCUUAUUUAGUUGAAUUAUAUGUAAGAAAAUUAGUUCAAUAAAAUCUAAUCCGUAAAUAUUCCUUAUCACAUAAUUAACGUACUUAAAAAUUCUUAAAUGAUCGGUCGCUUGUUUUACAAUUCUUUUAUAUAUCUUUGAAACUUUCAGCUUCCCAACACAUCAUAUUAUUCUCAAUUCGUCUAAAUUAUUAUUUUUUUUUCAAACACUGCAGCAACAACCAGUAUAAAAUAGAAUGAACUCAAUUAAUGGAAAUUUUUCUAGAUGCUUUCAUGGCAGAAUCUCAUUGGUCUAUUUCUCUUUGCACCUGAGGUUCCUCUAACAAAUCUACCUCUUAACUCUCAUGUCCGAAUUUAAACUUAAAAGAUGUUCCCCGUCCCACGUGUCCCCAAAUCUUUGUAUUUCCAAACAAACCCCUGCCAACGAAGUCAAGUGAUAGGAUGGCUUUUAUUACAAACUGUAUGAACGUUAUGGCCAUGGGACAUUGGAUAAAACUAAUGGAAUGUAAAGCAAAAUUACCGAUUAAACUAAAUUGAAAAUCCAACCAAUUGAAUCGGUUCAGUGUCACUCAAAAUAUGUGUGUGUGUGUGUAAAACAACACAAUUAUCAUAUUAAUGAGGCACUAUUAAAUUCAUUCAGUGAAUAUUUUUUUUUUCAUUUUUAAUGAAUGCUUAAUAUGACAAACAAUCUGUCCCAUUGAGCACUGUUUAAGUCAUUCAAUGAAAAUGAAUACUUCUAUAACAAAACAAUAAUUCCCUUAUUUAUUUGACACGCAAAGAACUUUCUUGCUCAGCUCGGCGGCUAAUCCUUUAAAAUUUGUUAAAAUUCAGUUAAUUGAUGAACGAGACAUAACCUAAUAAAUCGUUUAAUUUGUAUAAUUGAUAAAAAUUUGAACUUCAAAUAAAAUAGAUAGAAUGAUUAAUUUUUUUCAUAUUUAGAUAAUUGAUAUAUGUCAUGUUACUAUGAGUAAAAGAAUGAGGUGUAUGAUAGAAAACAUAAUGUUUACGUUUGUAUUAAAAAUUUUAAGUGCAAAUCUAUUUAGUGUAGGUUAGACAUAAAAAUAGUUACCAACUUGUCUUGUUUCUCAUUUUGUUUAAUUUUCCUAAUUUGAAUAACUAUUAAUUAUGAGUCAAGGGUUUAUUGCGAAAAUAUGGUCUUCCAUUUACUAUAAAAAGAUUAGCGUGAUUUAAUUAUUUUUCUUUUUGCUUGGUGUCUGUAAAAUUAUGAAUACUUUGGUAAAUAAGAUAAUUAUAAAUACCAUUUUGAAAAUCCAUGGCCAUGGUUGUGAUGUAUCUUUAUCAAUCACGGAUACAAAAAUUAAUCAAAAUUAUCGAUUGUUUUAAAUUCUGUUUUUAACAAAGCAUGAAGAUUUCACUAAUAGUAAGGCUGUUGUUGUGUAACUGUAUGCCAUGCUCGCAAGUGCGCUGUAACAAAUUGCUGAGCUGGCACCGGAUAUUUUAAGCUAAUAUUAGUAAUUAGUUUGUAGUGCUCCGAUUUAAGGUGUAUCGUACGUGUCUUGUUACUUCUAAUACAUAUUUUCUCUAUUCCUUUUUCUUUUACUUUCUCUUCCAUUUUCAUGAUCCCCAAACACUAGGGGUGGCAAUAUGGGUCAGGAUUCGUUUAUUCGAUUCGAUUCGAUGCGAAUUAAAUGGGUUUGACUUUGAAAAAAUUGAUUCGUUUAAUAAAUGGGUGAAUUCGAUUCGAUUCGUUAAUUAAAAGAAUCAAAUGCGGGUUUGAAAAUUUUGAUUCGUUUAUUCGUUUAGAAUUCGUUUAAUAAAUGAGUUAUAAACGAAUCGAAUACGGGUCGAUUCGUUUAAAAUUCAUUUAUUAUUCGUUUAAUUAAAUUACUUUUUUAUCCUUAAAUUUAUUUGAAAACUUUUUAAAAUUUAAAGGUUAAUAUUAUAAUUUUAAGCAAAUAACUACUAUAUGACAAUAAAAAAAAAUAACAAACACAUUACACACUCACACAUUCGCAUUUGACUUUUGACAUUUCACACUCACACACGAUUGCACAAGGCCACAAACAUAAAAACCCUAACGCGUAGGGAAAGAGAAGUCGUCACUGCAUCCAUCAAAGCAGUUUGCCGCUGCUGCAACUCCUAGCCGCCGCCGCCAAUCCGGCCACACGGCACACCCCAACCCUCACCGACACAGCCACUGGUGGCAUGAACUCACACCACGACAGCUGCGCCACCACCACAACAGCCGCGCACAAGAUAGGUUUUCAUCCCCAACACCACUUCCCGCCGCGCUAACUACCCACCAUCACGGUACACCACUCAAAUUUUGCCUUUAAUUGAUGUUUUACUGCUGUUUUGUUGCUGUUUUGUUGCUAUUUUGUUGUUAUUUUACUGCUAUUUUACUGUCAUUUUACUACUAUUUCCCUGCUGUUUUACUGCUGUUGUUUGGCUGCUGUUUCGCUACCUUUUUUUGCUAUUUUUCCAUGAUUUUGUUGCUAUUUUGCUGUUAUUUUAUUGUUGUUUUACUGUUAUUUUAUUGUAGUUUUACUACUGUUUCGCUGCCAUUUUUUUGUUAUUUUUCCACGAUUUUGUUGCUAUUUUACUGUUGUUUUACUGCUAUUUUGCUGCUAUUUUACUGUUAUUUUGUUGCUAUUUUGCUGUUAUUUUGUUACUAUUUUACUGCUAUUUUGCUUUCGUUUUACUGCUGUUGUUUGGCUGCUGUUUCGUUGCUAUUUUUUUGCUAUUUUUUCACGAUUUUGUUACUGUUUUACUGUUAUUUUACUGCUGUUUUACUGAUGUUUUGUUGUUAUUUUACUACUUUUUUACUGCUGUUUUCUUGUUGUUUGACUGUUGUUUCACUGCCGUUGCUGUUUUGCUGGCAUUGCUGCUGUGUUUGCUACUAUUUUACUUCUAAUUUUUUGCUGUUUUGCUAUUAAUCAGGGCCCUUAAAAUAAUUUUGAAUUAUUUUAUUUUUAAGAGAAUGGACACAAGCCAAAGUAAUUCAGCCUAUACAAUUAACGAUUCUAGUGUUGGAGAUGAUGAUGUAAAUGACAUAAUCGAACUGGAAGAAGAGAUUGAAAAAGGUUUAAGGCCAGUGGAACAAAAGGCACCAUGGCAAAAGAAACUAACUUCACAAGUUUGGUCGUUGUUCCGGGGGAUAAGUAUCCGGACAACAAGCCGAGAGCGGUGUGUAAAAAAUGCAGCAUUAAGUACGUGGUUGUGCGCAAUUCUGGUACAGGUAAUCUAAGAAGACAUUAUAAAACUUGUGCAAAAUUUAAAAAGCGUGAUCCUGUACAAAUGAUGUUAGAUCGUAGUGAUGGACUGUCAACUUGUGUUCCCAAGUUUGAAGCUCAUGUGUUUCGUGAAUUAUUGGUUUGUGCCAUUGCUAUGCAUGAUUUGCCAUUUCAAUUUGUUGAAUAUGAGGGAAUUAGAAGAAUUUGGAAUUAUUUGUGUGAUGAAGUGCCCAACAUCUGUAGGAACACUGCGAAAGUCGAUGUGUUAAAAAUGCAUAAUAUGGAAAAGACAAAAAUUAGAAGCUUGUUAGAAGAAGCUCCUAGUAGAAUAUGUCUUACUACUGAUUUAUGGACUUCUAUAACUACAGAUGAUUAUUUGUGUCUCACUGCACAUUUCAUUGAUAAGGGAUGAAAUUUACAAAAAAAAGUGCUGAAUUUUUGUGAAAUGCCAACUCCACACACUGGGGUUGCUUUGGCUAAAAAAAUAUUGUCAUUGUUGUGUGAAUGGGGUAUUGAGAAAAUGAUUUUUUCAUUGACUGUAGACAAUGCUUCAAGUAAUGAUGUUUGUGUUAUAAUGUUAAAAAGUCAAUUGAGAUUAAGGAAUGCUUUGGUGUGUGAUGGGGAUUUCUUUCAAAUUUGAUGUUGUGCUCAUAUUAUUAAUUUAAUUGUUCAACAAGGAUUGAAAGAAAUUGAGAAAGAAAUAGAAAAAGCAUGUGAGAUUGUGAAAUAUGUCAAAGGGUCACAAGUGAGAAAAAGAAAAUUUUUAGAGUGUGUUAAGCAAGUAUCUCUAGACGACAAGAAAGGAUUAAGACAAGAUGUUCCUACAAGAUGGAAUUCAACUUUUCUCAUGCUUGAUAGUGUUCUGUAUUACAAAAAUGCUUUCCGUCAUUUACAAUUGAGUGAUUCUAAUUACAAGAAUUGUCCUUCUGAAGAAGAAUGAGAGAAAAUAGAAAAGAUUGGCAAAUUCUUGUCUAUGUUUUAUGAGAUCACAUGCAUUUUUUCUAGUUCAAAAUACCCCACUUCAAAUUUGUAUUUUCCGAAGGUGUUUGCGGCUAAGGUUGCUUUGGAUCAAUUAUUGUGUAGUGAGGAUGUGUACAUGAAAACUAUGGCACAAAAAAUGAUCGAAAAACUUGAGAAGUAUUGGUCUGAUUUUUGUACCAUUUUGGCCAUAGCGGUCAUCUUGGAUCCUAGAUACAAGAUGACAUUUAUUGAGUUUGCUUAUAGCAAGGCUUAUGGUCAAAAUUCGGAGGAGUUGAAACAUGUUCGAGAUAAGUUGUUUUCAAUUUUUGGUGAGUAUAAUUUGAUCACACCAUCUUCCUCCACUACAUACGUACUCACUCAAAUGAGUGAUGUUGGUUCAAGUGCGGGACGUAAUGACAAUAGUCAAAGUACACUUAACUAAAGGACCAUGGAUAUGCUCAAGGCAUAUUUACAAUAUUCUUAUUUGUUCAUUGUAUGACUUAUUAUUUCCAUGCUUGUUUUGAAUUUUGACUAUUCUUAUUUCUUAAUUAUUUUGUAGGAGUUUGAUGAUUUUGAUAACAUGGAUUGUAGUUCUUAUGUUAGAAAAUCUGAAUUGGAGUUUUAUUUAGAUGAGCCAAGAAUUGAUAGAAAGAUUGAUUUCGACAUUCUAAGGUUUUGGAAAGGAAAUGGAUUUCGUUAUCCUAACCUUCUUCCAUGACUCGUGAUAUCUUGAGCAUUCCUAUAUCCACUGUUGCAUCUGAAUCAGCUUUCAGUGUUGGCGGUCGAGUUCUUGAUCAAUUUCGAAGUGUAUUGAAGCCAGAGACAGUCCAAGCAAUUAUUACUACUAGAGAUUGGAAGUUUGGAGAGAUUGGUAAAACUUGCUCAUAAAAUUUAUUUACUUUUCUUUUAUAAUAUUAUGUGCAAUUUUUCUAAUUAAGAUUUAUUUUUAUAAAAUUAUUGUAGAAAAUUUGGAUGUCACUGUGGACCAACUUACUCAAAACAUUAUGAACAUGAGCACUAAUUGUGCUCUAUCUGCAGAGAGUGCCAAUGAUCCAAAUGACAGUGUGCGAGUGUGGUAGGUAAAGUUUUUAUCUUGUUUAAUUAUUAUUUCCUUGAAAAUGCUACAAAUUUGCUAUAUAUUUGAUUUUUGAAAUUUUACAAUGACUAUUAUCAAUAUUGCAGCAUGUUAAUAACAUUUUGUUUACUUUUUGGUGUAGAAUUUUUGUUUUCAAGGUGACAAAGACAAAUGAAGAGAAUUAAAGAAAUUACAUUUCUUUAUAAUUUGAAUUUAAAUUAUUGUUAUUUGUAAUAUUAAGGAUUUGGUAUUUGGUAUUUGGAUGACUGUAUAAUAUGAUGUGAAUUAUUUAUAUUUUGUUGUGGGAUAUUAAAUUUGUGUUUUUUUUGCUUAAUUUUUUUAUUAAUUAUAUUUUUCUAAACGAAUUGUAAACGAAUCCUGAUUCGAUUCGAUUCGUAUAGGAUAAAGGAAUAAUAAACGAAUCUGGAUUCGAUUCGAUUCUUUUAUCAAUUCUAUUAAACGAAUUAAACGAAUCGAACCGAAUAUUCGUUUAAUAAACGAAUCGAAUCCGAAUCAUGAAAUUUCAAUUCGUUUAAUAAACGAAUCGAAUCCGAAUCAUGAAAUUUCAAUUCGUUUAAUAAACGAAUCGAAUCCGAAUUCAUAGAAUUUUGACCCAAUUCAAUUUGAAUUCGAUUCGUUUAUUCGUUUUGCCACCCCUACCAAACACCAUCAAUCCAUGAUUUUCUAAAGUAUUUGCUGUCUAUAGCUACAAACAUAGAAUUGUUGUUUCAAGAAACAAGUUAGAUAUUGAACAGGGCUAAAUAAAGGGCGGAUAAGAUAUUGGGCCAAUGGGCCUAACGCAACAAGGUCUUGAAUGAAUUUCUUCUUUCUUUUCUCCAAAAAUCUUUUGUUAAUUUUUAUGUUCCGUCAACUUUUUUCCCCUUUAGCACUAAAAUUCAUUUUUGAUACUUUAUGCAAAAAUUAUGAUGAAAAUGAGUCACUUUAGAACAUCAAUAAUUUUUUUUACAUCCAAGAUAACGACAACUACACUUAGAUCACUCUUCUUUAGUUGAAUUAUAUAGUUAAUAAAGUUGGCUUAGCAAAAUAUGAUUCUUGACAAUUGUAAUUGAGGGCUAGUAUUCUUUGGUUUUAGUUGUAGGGCUUAUAACGCCGUGCAACAGUUCUUGGUGGGUUCGAAUUAUUCUUUGGUUUCAAUUCUUUACGGUUCGUAAUUAAAAAUUCCUAUAUCACAAUUAGAACUUACAAACAAGUUAAAGUGAGUUAAAUCAAACGUAUAAAUUCAAGGUCUGUUACAAACUUCUAAAAUAGAUUUUCUCUGUUCUUUUUUCUUUCACUUUCUCUUCCAUUUUCCCAAUCCCCAAACACCACCAAUCCCUGAUUUUUUUAUUGUUAGCUGUCUAUUUCUACAAACAUAGAACUGCUGUUUGUUUGUCUAAUUACUUUCAAGAAACAAAACUCUCUGUCAUGUGGUCUCUUCGUUUAUUGGCUCGUGAGCAUGUAAGAUAUUGGGCCAAUGGGCUUAGCGUGACAAGUUCUUGAAUUGCAUGGCUCCUCUUUUUUUUCAUAAAUCUUUGCUUAAUUUUUUUGUUCCCUCAACCUUUUUUGGCCUUUCGCGCUAAAAUUCUUUUUUUGAUACAUUAUGCAAAAAUUAUGAUGAAAAUGAGUUACUUUAGAACAUCAAUAAAUUUUUAUUACAUCUAUAAUAAGACAACUAUAGUGAGAUUACUCUUAUUUAGUUGAAUUAUAUGUAAUAAAAUUAGUUUAACAAAAUCUAACCCGUCAAUAUUCCAUAUCACAUGAUUAACGUAUUUAAAAAAUCUUAGCUGUUCCGUCGCUUGUUUUACAAUUCUUUUAUAUAUCUUUGAAACUUUCUGCUUCUUGACACAUCAUAUUGUUCUCAAUUCGUCUAAAUUAUUUUUUUCUUCAAACACUGCAGCAGCAACCGGUAUAAAAUAGAAUGAACUCAUUUAAUGGGAAUUUUUCUCAUUGGUCUAUUUCUCUUCGCACCUUAGGUUCCUCUAACAAACUUAAAAGAUGUCCCCCAUCCCACGUGUCCCCAAAUCUUCGUAUUUCCAAACAAACCCCUGCCAAAUAGAGAAGAGGAUGGCUUUUAUUGCAAACUGUAUGAACGUUAUGGCCAUGGGACAUUGGAUCAAAAUCAAACCAAUGGAUUGUAAAGCAAAAUUACCGAUUAAAAAUUCAACCAAUUGAAUCGGUUUGGUGUCACUUAAAAAAUAAAUAAUAUAUAAAACAACACAAUUAUCAUAUUAAUGAGCCACUGUUAAAUUCAUUUAGUCAGUAUUUUUCUUUUCCCAUUUUCAAUGAAUGCUUAAUUUUCUCAUAUGGAAAACAAUCUGUCCCAUUGAGCACUGUUUAAAUCAUUCCCUAGUUUGUUUAACACGCAAAGAAUAUUCUUAUUCGGUUCGGCAGCCAAUCCGUUAAAAUUUGUUAAAAUUCGUUUAAGUGAUGACUGUGAUAUGACUCGACCAAUCGUUUAAUUUGUAUAAUUUAUAAAAAUUUGAGCUUCAAGUAAUGUAGAUAGAAUGGUUAAGUAUUUUAAUAUUAAGAUAAAUUGAUAUAUGUCAUUAUAUUAUGAGUGGAUGAAAUAUCCAAUAGAAAAAAAAAAUAUUUGUAUUCGUCAUUUUUGGUGGGAAUCUAUUUAGUGUAACUUAUCCAUAAAAAUGGUUGCCGACUUAUCUUGUUUCUCAUUUUGUUUAAUUUUUAUAAAUUUGACUCAUGAUUAAUUGUGAGUGAAGAUUUUUUUGGAAAAAAUCUGGUCUUACAUUUAUUUUGUAGGAUUUAAAAGAUUAAAAAACUUUAAUACAUAUAAUUUUAUGUUCGAAACUAAAUACUCGUAGCAUUGCUGCUUCUAUAAAUAACUCAUUUGAGCUUCCAGCCUGUUAUUUGUAUUUUACGUUUCUGUUUCUCUUCAUAAAGAUUUUUUUUUUCCAUUCUCUUUUUCUUCCACUUUCCCGACUCCCAAACACCACCAGUCUUUGAUUUUCCUAGAGUAUUAACUAUCUGUUUACACGAACAUAGACCGACAGUUUGUCUAAUUACUGUCAAGAAACAGCAUACUCUGUCUCGGGGUCUCUUCGUUUAUUAACUUUUCACUUGUGAACGGGCUAAUUAAAGGGUGUUCCUUCCUUCAAGAAAGAAUGCCAAGAAAGUACCAUCCAUUAGACACGUUAAGAAUUAUUUUACAUUAAAAAUGAUAAUAAUCGGUUUAGUGUUACCCCAUUAUUAGGUAAUGACUGUCCGAUUGUCUUCGCUUUCAUUGACUUUGCAACUGUGAAUUCUAAGCCGGGUUAAGGAUUGACAAAAUGUAAUAACCCAUAAAGCACGGAUAAUUAAUUAAUGGGCCACUGAUUUCUUCUUUAAAGGCUAAUUCUUGGUAAAGAUCAGAAAGUUCUCAAAUAAAAAUUCGGCUUUGUGGAAAUUAAAUUAAAAGUAAUUAAGCAAUUAACAGCUUAAUCGAGUUUGGUUUUGAAAAAUAUAUCUUUAAAUCUCUUGUAAUUAAAGAUAAUUAUCAUAUUACCGUCUCAAAUGGACCGAUUUCAAUCAAAUGAAAUCUAGAAAAUUGAGCAGCUCAUUGAUGUAUUUGGUCGAAUUGUGACUUGUGUCAGAGUCUUCGUUUUAGAAGAGUGCACAGCAGCUGCCAGGUCCACUUGGCAGUUGGCACGCCAAAAUUUUUCUGUUGACCAAUAAUUUUGAAAGGGAUAUUAUUAAUUUACUAUCAAAUAUUUUCUAACACAUCACUUUACUAUCAAAAAUUUUUGACAAUAAUUUUUUGUCACUUAAUAUUUCAAUUUUUUAUCAUUUUAUCAUAAAAAAAUAAUAAAUGCAUGCUUAGUGUAAGUUAUCCAUAAAAAUGGUUGUUGAAUUGUCUUGUUUCUCAUUUGGUUUAAUUUUCAUAAAUUCGACUCAUACAAUUCAAUUAUGAGUGAAGAGUUUUUUUAGGAAAAAUCUGGUCUUCCAUUUACUAUAAUCAGGUCUGAAUGAUUUUAUUAUUUUUCUUUUGUUUGAAAUAUACGUGGAAAAUGUUGAACACUUUGUAGGAUUUAGAAGAAUUUGAAAGUUUGAAUGCAUAUAGUUUACUAUCCAUCAGCUAGUGCAUAUUCUGUAUUUUAUGAAAUCAAAGCUGGUUGAUUGAGAAAUGGACCUUAUUACAUGUCAUAAGAUUUUACAGUGCUUUCUAAUGGAGCAAAAUAAAAUGAUUCUAACCUGUAUUGUUUAGAUGACACUGAAGUAUUACCUAAAUUAGCCUUUCAAAAAUCUAUGGUUGUGAUGCGUCUCUAUAAACUCACUCGUACAAAUUCUAUCUAAUGCCAAAUGUUUUAAACCCUGUUCUGAACAGAGUAUGAAAGGAUAUAUUCACUUAUCUAGUUAUGUCUUUUAUGCUUUCACUUCACUUGAUUCACCUUGUCCCUCUUUUAAAACAGCUGUAUAUGCUGGAGUAUAUACUUGAUCACAGUUCAUUCGCUGCACUCAGUUUACAGAGUAUUUCGGGAUUCAAGACUGUAGGCUGUUGCGGAUGCAACUUGCAAGGCUGUUGCUGUGUGACUGUAUGCCACGCUGGCAAGUGUGCUCUGACAGAUUGUGGAGAUCGCACCAAAGAUUGUAAACUAAUUAGUACUGAAAAAUCCUAUUUGCACAUAAAAUUGCACAAAAUAAAUAGAUUGAGAAUAGUUGUACAAAGAAAUAAGAUUAAUAAAGUAAUUACAUUUAUCUUUUAACAAAAUAUUUCUAGUCUUUUGGUGUUUUUGUGUAUUUUUGUGUACGUACAAGCUGCAUUACUCAUUAGUGAUUAACCUAAUGAGUAAGUAGCUCGUUUGAGCCUAGGACCUGUAAUUAUGUUUUACCUUUCUGUUACUCUCUCUUAAAUAUUAUCGCUGUUCUUUCUUCUUUUCUUUGACUUUCUUUUCCAUUUUCCUGACUCCCAAACACCACCAAUCCUUGAUUUUCUAGAGUAUCAGCUAUCUAUUUCUACAAACACAAAACUACUAUUUACUUUCAAGAAACAACGUAUUCUGUGGUUUAUUGGCUUGUGCCUUGUGAACGGGGCUAAUGUUGGUCUAACUACUUUCACGAAACAACGUACUCCGUGGCUUAUUGUCUCCUCAUCCAUUGACUCUGUCAAUUCAUGACUUUGACGCGCACGGUAGCUGCUAACUGCCUUCUCCAUUUGACGUGCAAAAAACUUUCUUGAGUCGGGUUAAAAUUAAUUGAUCAUUUUAUUUGGUGAUAAUGACUUACUAGUCAAGUCAUGAGUUUGAUGAUGAAGAGGACGAAAAAUAUUAUUUUAUUAUUUAAAAUAAGACUAUCAAUUAUUUCGAUGGUCAUCUUAUUUUCUAAAAUAACUAAAUGGAAUCUUACAGAAUUAAAGUGAAAAAAGAAAUUAAGAAAUUAAAUACUUUUCAUGCGAGUGGAGAAGAUUGGGUAGCGGUUACAUUAAAUAAAAGAAAAAUUCUGUAGAUUUAUUGAAUAACUAUUGAUUUUACUUUGAUAAUUUCUUUCUAAAAGUAAGGUAAACAUUUUUAUUUUCUUUGCAUUCGAGGUUUCUUUCUUUUGCGCUGGCCUUCACACUCUUGACCGUAUUUCAUGGGGCACAUUCAAUCUCAAUCUUCUGCAAGUUUGUGGCAGUUUUGUUAAUUACGAACUUUUGUAGGAUUUUAUGGAGAUGAUACUUUUAUAUACAUUUUUCUUUUCUUCGGUGAACAAAUUAAAAAUUUAGUUUUUGUCAUCAUGACUAGUGAAAUGAAAAUAGUCCUCAUUUCAAGGAUUGACAAAAGUCAAAAACGUUGUAUUCAUGCCGAUUAAUGGGGAACUAGUUUUGUCUUCUUAAAAGAGAAUUAUUUGCAGGGCGGUAAUUCGGAGAUUUCUGUAUUAUAUAGCCAAACCUAAGUGAUUAGAAAAAUGAGAAAUAAUUUGGAGGGAAACAAAAAAACUAAUUCAAGUUAAAGACCAGGAAUUUGUGUUCCUCACAAAAACAAUAAUUCAAGCCUCGCAAUAAUUUUUUUGAUUUAUUUAAAAAAAAAAAAUUGUUUUCCUCACAAAAACAUUUCAACGUCUAUUCUCUCGUACAGGGGAAUAUCCUUCACUCUUUGGCGUAUCCCUGGGGCAAUGUAAGUUGACUUUACAUUAAAACAAAAAAUAAUUACAAUCACAUAAUUACAAUUAUCAUCACCGAUUUGUAUAAUUUUCAGGACUAGUAAAUUAUCUCAAUUUUUAAAAAACAUAAUUACAAUUAUCGAUCGAACACCACUAAUUCCAACAAUUCAUCCAAGUUUUUCAAGUUUUUAGAUAUUUGAUAUAUGUCAUGUUUUAACUUGGUACGAGAAAAAAAUUAUAGAAUAAUUUUUUUUUCAGAUUAGUGGAAUUAUUUUACGAUAAAACUAUCACAAUCACAUUUAAAAAUAUUCUUUAAAUUUUCACUAUUUCUACUGUUAUUCUUUAAACUUUUUUCUGAACAGAGCAUGGAGGGUCGCUUAUCUAAAUAUGUUUUCUGUGCUUUCACUUCACUUGAUUCAUCUUGUCCCUCUUUCAUAGCUUCUAUCUCGUGUGAGCUUAGAACCUGCAACUCGUAUUUUACGUUUCUGUUACUUUCUCUUUCAUUUUCCCGACUCCCAAACACCAUCAGUCCUUGAUGUUAUAGAGUAUUAGCCGUCUAUUUGUACAGACAUAGAGCUACUGUUCCCACUGUAGAUCUUCAGAUGGUUAGCUCACUAUUGUUUGAAUAUUAAAAUUAAUUUGUUAAAUAAAUAAAGAAAACAAGAGACAAUUGCCAUAUAUAUUCCACAUUAAUUAGUCACCGUCCGAUUGUCUCCACUUCCAUUGACUCUGUUGAUUCAUGCUUUCAUGAAGUGAAACGCUUAACACUCUGUUCUGAUCCGCAGGAGAGGAGGAAAAACAUAAUUUUAUUAUUUCAUUCCUGACACGCGCAAAGAGCUUUCGUAACCGGCUCGGCAGCUGAUUCCUUAAAAUUUGUUAAAUUUCAUUUAAUUGAUGAAUGUGACAUGAAGCUCUAUAAAUAGUUUAAUUUGUAAAAUUGUUAAAAAUUUAAAUUUCAAGUAAGGUAGAUAAAAUGAUUAACUUUUUUUAAUAUUUAGAUAAUUAACAUGUGCCGUGUUACUAUUAGUGAAUGAAUGAAAUUUUUGAAGUGCGAAUCCAUUUACAAGUUACGACUUGUCUCGUUUCUCAUUUUACGUAAUUUUCAUAAAUUUGACUCACGAUCAAUUAUGAGUGAAGAGUUUGUUGGAAAAAUAUGAUCUUCCAUUUAUUGUAAUCAGAUGAGUGUGAUUUAAUUAUUUUUUUCCUUUUGCUUGAUGUCCCGAAAAUUAUGAAUGCUUUGUAGGAUGCAGAAGAUUAAAAAUUUUAAUGCAUAUCUAUAGUCAAAACUGAGGAAACAGAACAUUAUUGCUUCUAUAAAUAGGUCAUUUCAACUUAAAACUUGUUACUUGUUUUUUUUAACUUUUUCUUCCAUUUUCCCAAACACCACCAAUCCUUGAUUCUUUUCCUAGAGUAUUAGCUGUCGAUUGUUACAAACAUAGACAUACUGUUUGUCUAAUUACUAUCAAGAAACAGCAUACUCUAUCCUGGGGUCUCUUCGUUUAUUUAAUAUUUAGGUUUAUUAAUAUACUAUAUUAUUAAUUAAAUUAAUUAAUAAUUUAAAUUAAUUAAAUAAUAAAAGUUAAAUGAUUAUAUUUAAAAUCCAAGUAGUAUUUUAAUGUAAUGAAACCUAAAUCCCACCUCUAUACCACAUUUGUUAUACAAUGUAAUGCAACUAUAAAUUAUAAUUAUAUAAAAAUAAUAUUUUAAUACAAUAUAAUACAAGUAUAAUAGUAUUACAAGUGUAAGGCUGUAAUAUUAAUUAGCCUGUGUAAUAGAAUGCCAUGCUGGCAAGUGUGCUAUAACAGAUUGUCGAGCUGGCACCAAUUAUUUUAAACUAAUAUUAGUAAUUAGUUUAGAGUGUUUCGAUUUAUUCUAUAAAUAGAUCAUUUCAGCUUUGAACCUGUGAACUUGUAACGUGUACUGUACUUUUCUAUUACUUCUAAUAAAGAUUUUCUCUAUUCCUUUUUCUUUCACUUUCUCUUCCGUUUUCCCGACCCUCAAACACCGUCAAUCCUUGUUUGAAUAAAGGCAAAUCAGAUGUUGGGCCAAUGGACCCAACGUCACAGAUCUUGAAUUGAUUGCCUCUUCUUUUCUCCACAAAUCUUUGCUUAAUUUUUAUGUUUCCUCAACUUUUUCCCCCCUUUUGUGCUAAAAUUAUUUUUCUGAUACUUUAUGCAAAAAAUAUGAUGAAAAUGAAUUAGUUUAGAAUAUCAAUAAAUUUUUAUUACAUUCAAGAUAAGGACAACUACUCUUAGAUCACUUUUAUUUAGUUGAAUUAUAGGUAAUAAAAUUGGUUUUAACAAAAUAUGAUUCUUAACCCUUGUAAUUAAAGGCUGGUGUUAUUUAGUUUAGUUAUAACACCAUGCAACAGGUCGUCUUGGUGGGUUCAAAUGAAUAUACGAUCAUUGUCAAUAUUUAAUAGUUCGUAAUUAAAAAUUCCAAUAUCAUAAUUAGAACUUACAAACAUGCCAAAGUGAGUUAAAUCAAACCUAUAAAUUUAAGGUCUACUACAAACUUCUAACAAAUUAAAAUUUAAAACGAUUGAUUAAAUGCUAGACAAAAUUUAGCUUAUAAAUGUUCCCGACCACAUGAUGAAUGUACUUAAAACAUCCUAAUUGGUCGCUAAUUGAUUGGUUGUUAUUUUUUCAAUUUCUUUUUAUAUAUCUUGGAAGCUUCUAGUUUCAUAACAUGUUAUUUACGAUUCGUGUAAAUUAUUAUUUUUUAAAUAUUAGAGCAACAACCAGUAUAAAAAUAAAAUGCACUCAUUUAAUGUAAAUUUUUCUAGAUGCUUCAAUGGCAGAAUCUCAUUGGUCUAUAACUUCUCAAUAAAUUUUUCUAGAUGAUUCAAGAUUCAAUUUCAAACCAACGCCGAACAAACAGUAUAAACCUUAAUAAGAUAGUUGAAUAACCAUCUCUUACGUCGGGUGACCGAAUAACCAUCGCUUUCGUCGGAAUUUAAACUUAAACAAAGCUACAUCCCACGUGUCCCCCACUUUCUUAAUAUUUCCAAAAAACCCCUACCAGAUCCAGAUAAUCACCUUAACUUUUCUCGUAUAAAUAGAGAAGACGACGACGAUUCCUGCAAAGCCAGGUGAGUCACGUGAACGUUACGGCCAUGGGACACUGGAAUUGGAUCAAACCACCGGAAUGCACAGCAAAAUUAACCCGAAUAAACUAAAUUAGAUCCAACAAAUUGAAUCAGUUUGGUGUCACUCAGAAAACAAAUAAAUAUAUAAAACAACACAAUUAUCACGUUAAUGGGGCACUGUUAAAUUCAUUCAGUGGAUACUUUUUUUUUUUUCUCAUUUUCAAUGAAUGCUUAAUAUGAAAAAUAAUUUGUCCCAUAGAGCACUGUUUAAGUCAUUCAAUGAAAAUGAAUACUUCUAUAAGAAACAAUUAUUCCCCUGUUUAUUUGACACGCAAAGAACUUUCUUACUCAUCUCGGUGACCAAACCUUUAACAUUUGUUGAAAUUCAAUUAAUUGAUGAAUGUGACAUAACUCGAUAAAUCGUUUAAUUUGUAUGAUUGAUAAAAAAAAAUUUAAGCACGUAAACAUACGAGCUUUCUUUCUUUUACUCUCUAUUUCAUGGUUAUUCAAUUUCAAUCUUCUGCAAGUUUUUGGCCGUUUUAUUAUUUACGAAAUUCUAUAGGAUUGCAUUAGAUUAUACUUUUACAUGCAUUUUUUCUUCUUUCUCUUUUUUUUUUUUUUUUGGGUAAACAUAUUAUUUUAUCAUCUAUCACUAUAAGAAUGAAAUGAAAAUAGUUCUCAUUUAAAGUAUUGACAGCAAUGUUAUACUCAAUAUAACGGAUAAAGCACGCAAAUUAAUUGAAAGCUCAUAGAGUUUCCAUAUUAGCUGAACCUAAGUGAUAAGUGUUUCCUUAUGAGCCAUGAUUUGGGGAAAAAAACCAAUUCAAGUUAAAGAUCAGAAAAGUGUGUCCCUCACGAAUACAACAAUUCAAGCCAGGCAUUUAUCAAACGCAUGACAGAGAUUCAACAUGUUGUCUCAUGGAAAGAAAUCCUUCAGUCUCUGACGUAAUACUUGGGGCAACGUAAAUUGACUUUACAUUGAACGAAACACUGGCCACAAACAUUAUCAAAAUUAAAUUGAUCGGUUUAACGUAAGUUUUUCUUCAAGAACGAAUGCCAAGAGCUCAAGAAAGUACUAUCCAUUAGACACGUUAAGAAUUACUUUUCUUUUCAUAAUAAAUUAGAUUGAGUUAAUAAUAUUUGCCUGUGUGAAAUGAAUAAUCAGUUUAGUGUCACCCCAUUAUUAAUUUGUGACUGUCCGAUUGUCUCCUUUUUCAUUGACUUUGCAACUGUGACUUCUGAACCGGGUUAAGAGUUGACAAAAAUGUUAAUGUUAAUAUGUUAUAACUCAUAAAACACGCAUAAUUAAUUAAUGGCCCACCAAUUUCUUCUUCUCAAAAGAGAAUUUUUGCAGGAGAUUGAAAAAAGGCUAAUUCAUGUUAAAUAUCUUAGAUGAGUGUCUAUCACGAAUACAAGUCAAGCCACAGGAUUUUUCUUGUUAUACUAUUUAUUGGCACUUGUGAAUCCUUGAAUUAUCAAAUGAAUAGCAACAACACUUCAAUAUCUAUUGUUACAAGGAGAGAAAUCCGUUCUCUCUUUGAUGUACUACUUGGCAAUAUACAUUGAUCUUUCAUUAAAACAAGCAUUCUCAUAUUGUUGAGAAAAACUCACGUUAAACUAUUCAAUUUAAUCAUUUAUUAAACAGAUAUUUGGUUUGAUUCAUUUUAUUCAUUUAGUAGAAUUAAUAAACGAAUCGAAUCGAAUCCAGAUUCAUUUAUUCUAUUACGAAUCCACAACGAAUUGAAUCGAAUCGAAUCAGAAUUCAUUUACAAUUCAUUUAGAAAAAUAUAAUUGAUAAACAAAAUUAAGCAAAAUAAAAUAUAAAAAAGCCGCAAAUUUUAUACCACUUCCUACACCAUAUUCCUAAUUAGCUAGGGAUAGUCUACCAUGCAAUGGCUGCUGUCUUAAUUAAAUAAAAUAUGUGCUUUUAUACGCCCUCUCAAAGAAUAUCGAUCUCCUCAAGACUUUACAUAUUUGUUUUUGAAUAUAAACACUUGUUCACUUCUACAUAUUUUUUUUUAGCUACAUCCAUAGAAUUGCUCUAGCCUCUACGUUGGACAUAGCUGCUGUCUUGAUUAAAUAAAAUAUGUACUUUCAUACGCCCUCUCAAAGAAUAUCGAUCUCGUCGAGGCUUUACAAGCUUCGGUGGGAUCUUUAGAAAACGUCUCGACGACUCAAAAGACUACACUCCCACUUUCAAAAGUGGCACGAUUUGAACUUAUCCUGCCAACCUUCUAGAAGAGUAGUGAUAAACUUCAAGAUCAUUCUUUUAAUUUUGUCCCUUUUAACAUUUUGGUUUCAGGUAAGGACCAAUCACUUGGACACUUCAAUUUUACUUUUGGACCUUUCUUAUAAUGACAAUACCCUCCAUCCCGCGGUCUCUUCGUUUAUUGACUUGUUACUUGUGAACAGGACUAUAUAAAGGGCAAAUAAGAUGUUGGGCCAAUGGACCCAACGUCACAGAUCUUGAAUUGAUUGCCUCUUCUUUUCUCCACAAAUCUUUGCUUAAUUUUUAUGUUUCCUCAACUUUUUCCCCCCUUUUGUGCUAAAAUUAUUUUUAUGAUACUUUAUGCAAAAAAUAUGAUGAAAAUGAAUUAGUUUAGAAUAUCAAUAAAUUUUUAUUACAAUCAAGAUAAGGACAACUACUCUUAGCUCACUUUUAUGAAAUUCGUUACUAGAAAUUUGUAUAAAAGUCGUGAGAAUAGAAAUUUUGGUAAAACAAAAGUCGCAGGCUUAUUUAGAAAAAAAGAAAAAAUUACAUUCUAUUUUCCAAUUACUAAGGUCAGCCUUAACACAUGCCGAUCUUUUUCUCCUCUACUUUCUAGAAAUUUUGGUUUCACUAUAAAAACUCGGUAUAUAACAAACUUAUGAGUGUUCUUGCAUUACCAAUCCAAUUAAGCACACGCUUACAAUCUAAAAUACUCUCAUCUCAUGGAAAGAGUUCAUUCUCUCAGGAUGAUGAGCAUAUUUCUCCUACUCCAUUGUUUGAUUAUUAUGUCCUUAUUUAUCGCAGCAACAACAGCCAACACAAGUUCUACUAUCACAGACCGAGAUGCUCUGUUAGCCCUGAAAGCUCACAUAACUCAUGAUCCGACCAAUUUCUUGGCCAAGAAUUGGAACACAAGUACUCCUGUCUGUAAUUGGACAGGCGUCGCUUGUGACAUCCACAGCCAUAGAGUCACAGUCUUGAAUAUUUCAAGCUUAAAUCUCAGAGGCACCAUCCCAUCUCAACUUGGGAAUCUUUCUUCUCUGCAAUCACUCAAUCUCAGUUGUAACCGACUUUCUGGUUCCAUUCCCUCCGCCAUCUUCACCAUAUACACACUGAAAAAUGUUAGUCUCGGUAAAAAUCAGCUCUCUGGGGAAAUUCCUACAAAUAUUUGUAGUAAUCUUCCUUUUCUUGAAUUUCUUUCUUUGUCCCCAAACAUGUUCCAUGGCGGAAUACCGUCCACUCUAUCAAAUUGCACAUAUUUAAGAAUCUUAAGUUUGGCAUACAAUGAUUUCUCGGGAGCCAUACCUAGAGAAAUCGGUAACUUGACCAAACUUAAGGUAUUAUAUAUUGGCGCGAAUAGACUCCAAGGUGCGUAUGAUCAUGGAGUUUAAUUAUAAAAAUUGUUCCAUAAUACACUUCUGAGCCCGAAAUCCUUUCCUUUCCUCCUUGACUCUCCUAUCGUCGAGCUAAGUGACUCUGUCAUGCCGCUUCAAGUAAUAUAAACGUUGAUUAAUUUGCAGGAGAAAUUCCUCGAGAGUUUGGCAAUCUUACCGAAUUGGAGCAGUUUUCGUUACCAACAAACAAUCUCCAAGGUAUAAUUUUAAACUUUUUGCAAUUUUAUUCUAGCUCUGCUUGCUUCUGUAUUCAUUCGUUUGUUCAUUAAUUAUGCUAUGAUUUAUUGUUUUUCUUUCAGAUAGAGAUAAAGCUCCAUGUCUCCCCUCACUCAUUUCGUUCUUUGAUUUAUGCAGAUAAAAAUAAAAAAAAAAUGUUUUGUAAUUUUCUUUUGUCAUAUUGCCACUUCCCUUUUGAAGCUCCCAAUUAAGUCGAUGAAAAUGAAUGAUGCUUCAUUCGUAUUCUUGUCAGCCUAAUUCUUAUAUAAUUGAAGAGUAAAUUGUUAUUAUGAUAUUCGUCAGCCAAUAAAUUCUUUUUUUUUUCUCAAAAUAUGAGUGAUCAAAUUGUUUGUGCAUAUAUAAUUUUACUUAAUUUGCAGGAGGUAUUCCACAGGAAUUGGGGAAUCUUGCAAAAUUGGAGAUUUUACAGCUGUUCCAGAAUAACUUGACCGGUAACCAUCUUUACUAUAUAUAUAUGAGACAUCUUCCGCUUCUUAAUUAAAAGAUUUCAAGUCUCUCAUUAUACAUUCUCAUAUGAGGAUAUGUCAUUACUACAAUCUAACAUUAUUCCCUUUUUUAUUAGAAAUUAGUUUGUGUUAAUUCAAAAUUUUGUAACAUUUAAUAAAAAUUAAAAACACGUGGAAUAAAUCAUCAAUCUUUCUUCUUUAUUGAAUUUGGAUUUCUCAAAAAUUAUUUUGACAAGUAUACUUCACUAAUGAUAUGCAUGUGUGACAACUUCAUAAAAUAUUUUACAUGGAGUCACCAAUUAUCUUUAAAUAAUUGGAGAUGCCAUCAGUGAUACAUAAUUUCUUAACAAGCACCAUAUCAAAAGAAAUCAACAAUUUUAUUAAUCUUCAAGAGUUACAUCUUCACUGCAAUUAUGACAUAAUUUUUUAGUCAUCAAUCGCACAAUAUUUUAUCUUAAUGGAUGAUGUUCAAUCUUGGAAUUUAUAAUACCUUGAAGGUUAGUAGCUUUGAAAAUAAGAACUGUUCAUUUGCUAAAAAGUUAACUUAGUAUUUAAGUUUUUCAAUUGAAAAUUUUGAAAAAAGUCUUGAGAACUGCCCUCCUUAGUAUUUCAGCUGAUAAAUAUGAAAAAUAGGCUUGAAGAAAUAUUGUUGUGUGUGCUUAUUCUACUUGGGCUUUGGGCUUGAUUACAAGGUCGAGCACUUACACCUGUCAUAAUAAUAGGCUUUUACUUUCACCACACGUUUAAUAAUUUCUUAACCUUCCGAAUUAAGUUAUGGCAAUUUAUAUAUAAAUAACUAAAGCAUACUAAUUCUAGCACAAAGUACUCAUGACUUAGGCUUGCUGUGUUACCUAUUACACACGGUCGAAUACUUACAUCUGUUAGAAUAACAAUAGCAUCCGCGGAUCGACUAUCAGUGAUCAAAUUGUUUGCACAUAUGUAAUUUGCAGGAGCAAUUCCACGGGAGUUGGGAAAUAUUACAGGAUUGGGGAUCUUAGCGCUGUCUGAUAAUUUUUUAACCGGUAUCAUUCCUUCAUUCCUUCUCUAUUAAAUUUGGAACUGUCAUUUAAUAACUUAACAGGUAACUUCCCUUACAAAAUGUCUGUGUGACAUGUUUUGCUUCUAAAUUAAAAUAUUUCACGUCUCUCAUUAUAAAUUCUCAUAGGCGGAUGUAUUGUUACUACUAUUUAACAUUAUCUCGUUUUUUUUAUUAGAAAUUAAUCUGUGUUUAUGCAAAAAAUUUUAGCAUCUAAAAAAAGUAUAAAAACGCGUGGAAUAAAUCGAAAAUCUUUCUUCAUUACUGAAUUCGGAUUUCUCAAAAAUUAUCAUGAGAACUUCAUAAAAUAUUUUACAUGGAAUCAGUAAUUAUCUUUAAAUAGUUGGAGAUGCCAUCACUAAUAAAUAGUUUCUUAAAAAGCAUCAUACUAAAAGAAUUCAAUAAUUUUAAUAAUCUUAAAGGGUUACAUCUUCACUGCAAUUAUGACAUAAUUUUUUAUCUAAAUAUAUUUUUUGUCAUCAAUCGCAUAAUAUUUUAUCUUGACAGAUGAUGUUCAAUCUUGGAAUUUAAAAUAUCUUGAAGGUUAGUAGCUAUGAAAAUUAAAAAAUUUUUAUUUGCUAAAAAAUUAACUUAGUAUUUAAGCUUUUCAAUUGGAAAAUUUGAAAUAAAUGUUGAGAACUGGCCCUCCUUAGUAUUUCAGCGGAUAAAUAUGGAAAAUAGGCUAGAAAAAAUUAUUUUACUGAAAUAAUAGUUAAAAAUAGAGAAGUACAGUACUCAUGACUUAGGCUUGCUGUGUACUUUUUUUACUUGGGGUUCGGGCUUGAUUACACACGGUCGAAUACUUACACAACUCCCCCCACAUAGGGUUUUACUUUCAUCCCUCAUUUGAUAAUUUCUUAACCUUCCCAAUUAGAUUAUAGCAAUUUAUAAAUAAAUAAAUAACUAAAGCAUACUAAAGCUAGCAUAGAUGGAUGGAUAAGUGGUGUCAAAAGUAUAUCUGUUUUUAUGUAUUAUUGUUCCCUAAUACAAAUCUGAAUAAUGGAAAAUAUAAAUUUAAUACUUUAUUUAAAACUCUGUUAACAUUUUAUCUAUACAUAAUAAUUAAACUGAAACUCGUACUUAAAAAAAUUUUGGUUACGCAUAUUCAUUUCAUGAUAAAAAAAUGUCUAUUUACACUAAUUUACCAUUAUCAAAAAAAUGCUUUGAGACAAAUAAUCUAAUUUAUAUUAGUAUAUUUAAAAUACUUGCAUUUAUUAUAUUUUGAAAAAAAAUUAUUUGCAAUUAUUUUAAACCUUUCAAUUCAAAUUUUCUUAGUUAUUAAAGUCAAAGGGUAUAAAUGUAUAAUAGUCAAACAUAGAUUUGUAUGAUCAUUUUUCAAUGUAUAAAUUUUCUUAGUUAGUAGGAAAUUAAAAAUUGUUGAUUUACUCAUAAAUAAAUUUAGUGUUUAGCAUUUCAAUUUUGGAAAACUUGAACUAAAUGUUGAUAACUUCGAAUCCAUCGAGCCGAGUUUCGCUUCCUUGACACACAGACCCAUUCGAAGUAGUAUUCGAAUUGAGUUUCCAAGUGCUUAGAAAAAGCAUUUCUUUUCCAUGUCACUAUAAUUUAUUCACAAAAGAGUUGAUUAGCGUCGAUGUUGCUUCAGAGUUUGAGACCAUGUUAAUAGGAGAAAUUUGAAAAGAAAUUAUUUUACUGAAUUAAUUUAUUUUAUCUUGCUGUAACUGAAAUACCACCUUUUUUUUUUGCUAUCACUGGGGCUUGAUUUACUUUAAUAAUAGCAGCCACAGACUUAGGCUUUUUUACUUUUCACCACACAAUUUGAUCUUUUAAUUCGUUUUAACCACAUAAUCUAUCUAUCUCACACCUAUUGCUUACUUAAAUCGCAUACAUAUUUUACCUACUAAUUUUUACAAACAUUAGUGAAAUAUAUUUUAUUACAUUUCGCUCGUAACUGCUCUAGUUGUGCACUAUUAAUACUUAAC